Molecule: ribosomal RNA, 450 nt
Filed under: uncultured bacterium
Lineage: Bacteria
Description: partial 16S ribosomal RNA
Rfam family: Bacterial small subunit ribosomal RNA
Source: RNAcentral
GUGGGGAAUAUUGGACAAUGGGCGAAAGCCUGAUCCAGCCAUGCCGCGUGUGUGAAGAAGGUCUUCGGAUUGUAAAGCACUUUAAGUUGGGAGGAAGGGCAGUAAGUUAAUACCUUGCUGUUUUGACGUUACCGACAGAAUAAGCACCGGCUAACUUCGUGCCAGCAGCCGCGGUAAUACGAAGGGUGCAAGCGUUAAUCGGAAUUACUGGGCGUAAAGCGCGCGUAGGUGGUUUUGUAAGUUGGAGGUGAAAUCCCCGGGCUCAACCUGGGAACUGCCUCCAAAACUGGAUGACUAGAGUACGGUAGAGGGUAGUGGAAUUUCCUGUGUAGCGGUGAAAUGCGUAGAUAUAGGAAGGAACACCAGUGGCGAAGGCGACUACCUGGACUGAUACUGACACUGAGGUGCGAAAGCGUGGGGAGCAAACAGGAUUAGAUACCCCGGUAGUCC